Scylla paramamosain (green mud crab) is the source of this 1581-nucleotide long non-coding RNA. RefSeq lists it as uncharacterized. The transcript is spliced from 2 exons. NCBI's taxonomy places the organism in Eukaryota, Metazoa, Arthropoda, Malacostraca, Decapoda, Portunidae. The record is from RefSeq and is a predicted model, not a curated record.
UUCAAUGUUUAUCCUGUCUCUUCACUAUGAGUAUUGUUUUAAGUAAAAUACGUAAAUUUGAUUUUGAAAGUUAAGAACUUCAACAUGCUCAUGUUCGGCGAUACCGAUGAAUCGAUUAGGCGGAAAAAACAAUGAUCGGAUAAUCGUUAACUCGAUAUCGUUAUCGUGAUAAAUUAUCGCGAUAAUUUAAUGCAAUAACCUAUGCUCUUGUGCGACUUAAACAGUUUGUUCACAAAGCGCUGCCAAUGUUGUACAAAGGCUUAGUCUCUGAAUUGUUCAGUCUAGUAGUUACAAUGAACCAUCAACAGGAUUCUACAGGUUCUGAGAUUACGUAGAAAUAGCAAUAUCCGAUUCCAGAGACAGUUCGACAUCCUUGGCCACAUGACAGGUGGAGCAUCUUUCGACACAGAUUUUUUUUUUUUUUUAUUCCUCAUAAACAAUACUUGCAUUAACUUGGGGACCCCGAAAAGUCUCUUUAGGCAACUGAAAGUUACAAAAAUAGUUUAACCAUAGGUAAACUCUUUUAAUCAUCAGGGAAGCUGUCCUGUUCAUUUAGCCUAGGACACGUCUUAUGUUCGUCUGAUAAAAUAUCGCCAAUUAGCACAGCAGCAAACACCACCUUGAUCACGUGGUGCUGAUGCAAAUACGGAUGUUAUCUCUACGUCUACUGUAUGUUAGCUAGUUGCACCUCCCGAAGCAGAGUAGUGGGAGGCAGAGAGCUGUGUGCUUCGGGGAGGAGUGACGCUCGCUGCUAGUGGCUGCGUCAAGCCAAGGUCUAUAUACACCUGUAUAGAUCUUGCGUCAAGCGAGCCCUAGCGAGCGGCGGAGGGCCACAUCGAGACUGAUGGUGUGUCUCUCGUUGGACUUGAUGCUGCUAACCAGAGACGCAGAGCACACAGUGGCAUAUUCCUGACGUCUCUCUAGUAACUAGAGGCGCAGUAUCUCACCUGUUAACAUCCAGAAACACCACGUUACUUUAUUUCAGGUAAGAGGUGAAUUCUCCAAUUAUACCUAUAAAUAAAUUUGUUAAUAGUCCUUUAAUUGAAAAUUUUCUUCAAGCCUAUUAAUAUGACACUAUCUUAACUGAAUGAAAUGUUCUCCCUGUAAUGCUGCUAGCUUACAUAAAAAUGCUGCUAGCCUAUGCCAUAUUUGUUGACAUUAAAUUGGUCAGCUGCAAUGACAUGUGGUUACAACAGCAAUUUGGUCUACGAGUAUGUAAGGACAGCCUCAAUCUGAGAGAUUCUUCAGAUAUUAAAAUAAAAACUGAUUAACUUCAAAACUUUUUAAGUUAUUGCUUUUCCACAUUUUACAAAAAGCUUAUUCACAUAAACCUCAAAGGGGAUCUUAUUAUAAACAUCAUAAUAAGUAUUUCGAAGGAGAUAAGGCAUAUGAGUAUGGAAAUAGUUGUGACAGUCGUGUACUGAUGUUCUUCCUUUGGUUCUUCUCAUUAAAAAUAAGUUAAAAAUGAGUUAUUAUAAUUAUCAGAUUAUUAGAAAUUAAUUAGUAUGAUUACAAAGCAUCCAAACUUGAAAUAGCAGUAGCGUAUGUAUGGUCAAUGCUGGUCAUGAAAAAAAUAAAAAU